RNAcentral lists this long non-coding RNA (591 nucleotides) under Rattus norvegicus (Norway rat). Its description in RNAcentral is "long non-coding RNA NONRATT025663". The record is from RNAcentral. Lineage: Eukaryota; Metazoa; Chordata; Mammalia; Rodentia; Muridae.
GGUGAACCAUGCCGAGGCAAGUCGACUGAAUAUUGAAAGAAUGAAGCAGAUCUAUCAGCAGCUCUCCCGCUACAGAGGGCUAGGUCUCCUUGCCUCAGUCCCUUCUAAUCCUAAUGGGAACGGAGGGCUCAUGGGCUAUGCUCCUGGAGAGAAUGUCCCCAGCGGUGGCAGUGGUGGCGGAAACUGCUCUCAAGGAAGUGGUAUUUUACACUAUGCUCACGGAGACAGUCAGCAAACUAACCCACUAAAGCAAGGAAGAAGCUCCAUGGGCACUGGCCUCAGCAGCGGGAAGCGCCCAAGUCAGGAAGAGGACGCACAGAGUGUUGGCCCCAAAGUCCAGCGACAGAGCAGUAACUGAUACGGACACAUUUUUCCAGACAUCAUUGUUUGACCUAAUUUUGCAGUCUUUGAUAAUACUGCUUUAGAAGCUCCGUGGAAUCAGUGCGAACGCUCCUGUCUGCGUGGACAGUCUGUGUUACAGCCCGUGCAGCUGCUCUGACUCGCACUGUGCACUGUGCCCAGCCCCUUUGUCUCCCUCCUUGUUCAUUUCCAGCUACCGUGACUUUGUUAUUAAAGUAUAUGCAAAUAUGG